GGUGGAGGUAGAGGGACCGGGACCAAGAAGCGUCGGGAGGGGGCGCGACGCAGUCGCCGCUGUGGAUCUAGGUGGUGUGCAUGCUCGCAGAUCGAAGCGCCAAAGCGAGAGAUGCUCGAUAAUUGUCCCAGCGGGGACCUCUAGCCUUCUGAAUCUCGUAAUUCAUGCGCUGAAACAAGGUACCCUUCCUCCAUGCUGGUUGCUAUUCAACCAAUGCUCUGUUUCGAUGUCGAUAUUGGAGGACAUGGAAUUAAAUUGGGUUCAAUACCAAAUCAGCCAUAGUAUUGAAAUGAGAUGUAAUUCUAAUGUUAUUGUUUGGAUGUCACUGAAUUGGAGUUUGGAAUUGUGUGGUUCAAUUCCACAAAAUACAGAGGGGUGAUGCUAUGUAUUGAGAGAGUGAGUUUAUAGUUAUAGUCCAAUUCCAGGGAAUUGAGUCUUUGAUUCCAAAUCUCAAUUCCAUGUGCAACUAAACAAUAUACUUCUAGAAAUCUAAUUCCAAUUCCUAAUUUCGUGCUCCAAUAUUGUUGGAGGUCUUCUUCUCCGCCGAAGGUCCUCAAGACAAAGGUAUCAUUGGCAAAGUAAUUUUGAGGUCUCUCUCUGUCUCUCUCUGUCGAAGAUCCUCGAGACGAAGAUACUGUUUGGAAGCAACGAUGACGAAUACCGAAGCUACCACCGAAGGACAACAACUUCGCCUUAAAAUGAUGCCGAAUAUCAAACAUGGAGCCAAGCCAAAGAGGAAAAGGCUAGUUAGUCCCUAGUGAUUUUUGUUACGAUUAUGGACAAGUGUUAAGGUCAUAAUUGUACUUUUACCCGGGCUGCGUCCCGUGCCUAUAAAUAGGUGAAUAGUACUCCCGUACUUUUCACGCUGAAUUGUAAUCACUAUCGCAUCUACACCUUCGAACAAGCCGAAGGUAUCAAUGUAAUAUAAAUUUGUUAAUGAUCAUGUGCAUAUUAUGAAAUACAUAUGUGUAAG
RNAcentral lists this long non-coding RNA (973 nucleotides) under Zea mays. RNAcentral describes it as "long non-coding RNA (ZMAY_LNC002248)". Lineage: Eukaryota; Viridiplantae; Streptophyta; Magnoliopsida; Poales; Poaceae. The record is from RNAcentral.